This 115-nucleotide ribosomal RNA is filed under the name Felis catus (domestic cat). The record is from RNAcentral. Lineage: Eukaryota; Metazoa; Chordata; Mammalia; Carnivora; Felidae.
GUCUACGGCCAUACCACCCUGAACGCGCCCGAUCUCGUCUGAUCUCGGAAGCUAAGCAGGGUCGGGCCUGGUUAGUACUUGGAUGGGAGACCAAGAUAUCCUUAUGUAGUAAGGA